Molecule: ribosomal RNA, 466 nt
Filed under: Vreelandella stevensii
Lineage: Bacteria; Pseudomonadati; Pseudomonadota; Gammaproteobacteria; Oceanospirillales; Halomonadaceae
Description: partial 16S ribosomal RNA
Rfam family: Bacterial small subunit ribosomal RNA
Source: RNAcentral
CCUACGGGUGGCAGCAGUGGGGAAUAUUGGACAAUGGGCGAAAGCCUGAUCCAGCCAUGCCGCGUGUGUGAAGAAGGCCUUCGGGUUGUAAAGCACUUUCAGUGGGGAAGAAAGCCUUGGGGCUAAUACCCUCGAGGAAGGACAUCACCCACAGAAGAAGCACCGGCUAACUGCCGUGCCAGCAGCCGCGGUAAUACGGAGGGUGCGAGCGUUAAUCGGAAUUACUGGGCGUAAAGCGCGCGUAGGCGGUCUGAUAAGCCGGUUGUGAAAGCCCCGGGCUCAACCUGGGAACGGCAUCCGGAACUGUCAGGCUAGAGUGCAGGAGAGGAAGGUAGAAUUCCCGGUGUAGCGGUGAAAUGCGUAGAGAUCGGGAGGAAUACCAGUGGCGAAGGCGGCCUUCUGGACUGACACUGACGCUGAGGUGCGAAAGCGUGGGUAGCAAACAGGAUUAGAUACCCGGGUAGUC